GGGUUGUGAGGUUAAGCGACUAAGCGUACACGGUGGAUGCCCUGGCAGUCAGAGGCGAUGAAGGACGUGCUAAUCUGCGAAAAGCGUCGGUAAGGUGAUAUGAACCGUUAUAGCCGGCGAUGUCCGAAUGGGGAAACCCAGUGCAAUUCGUUGCACUAUCGUUAACUGAAUACAUAGGUUAACGAGGCGAACCGGGGGAACUGAAACAUCUAAGUACCCCGAGGAAAAGAAAUCAACCGAGAUUCCCCCAGUAGCGGCGAGCGAACGGGGAGCAGCCCAGAGUCUGAAUCAGCUUGUGUGUUAGUGGAACGGUCUGGAAAGUCCGACGGUACAGGGUGAUAGUCCCGUACACCAAAAUGCACAGGUUGUGAACUCGAAGAGUAGGGCGGGACACGUGGUAUCCUGUCUGAAUAUGGGGGGACCAUCCUCCAAGGCUAAAUACUCCUGACUGACCGAUAGUGAACCAGUACCGUGAGGGAAAGGCGAAAAGAACCCCGGCGAGGGGAGUGAAAAAGAACCUGAAACCGUGUACGUACAAGCAGUGGGAGCACCUUCGGGUGUGACUGCGUACCUUUUGUAUAAUGGGUCAGCGACUUAUAUUCUGUAGCAAGGUUAACCGUAUAGGGGAGCCGCAGGGAAACCGAGUCUUAACUGGGCGUUAAGUUGCAGGGUAUAGACCCGAAACCCGGUGAUCUAGCCAUGGGCAGGUUGAAGGUUGGGUAACACUAACUGGAGGACCGAACCGACUAAUGUUGAAAAAUUAGCGGAUGACUUGUGGCUGGGGGUGAAAGGCCAAUCAAACCGGGAGAUAGCUGGUUCUCCCCGAAAGCUAUUUAGGUAGCGCCUCGUGAACUCAUCUUCGGGGGUAGAGCACUGUUUCGGCUAGGGGGUCAUCCCGACUUACCAACCCGAUGCAAACUACGAAUACCGAAGAAUGUUAUCACGGGAGACACACGGCGGGUGCUAACGUCCGUCGUGAAGAGGGAAACAACCCAGACCGCCAGCUAAGGUCCCAAAGUCAUGGUUAAGUGGGAAACGAUGUGGGAAGGCACAGACAGCCAGGAUGUUGGCUUAGAAGCAGCCAUCAUUUAAAGAAAGCGUAAUAGCUCACUGGUCGAGUCGGCCUGCGCGGAAGAUGUAACGGGGCUAAACCAUGCACCGAAGCUGCGGCAGCGACACUAUGUGUUGUUGGGUAGGGGAGCGUUCUGUAAGCCUGCGAAGGUGUGCUGUGAGGGUUGCUGGAGGUAUCAGAAGUGCGAAUGCUGACAUAAGUAACGAUAAAGCGGGUGAAAAGCCCGCUCGCCGGAAGACCAAGGGUUCCUGUCCAACGUUAAUCGGGGCAGGGUGAGUCGACCCCUAAGGCGAGGCCGAAAGGCGUAGUCGAUGGGAAACAGGUUAAUAUUCCUGUACUUGGUGUUACUGCGAAGGGGGGACGGAGAAGGCUAUGUUAGCCGGGCGACGGUUGUCCCGGUUUAAGCAUGUAGGCUGGUUGUCCAGGCAAAUCCGGAUAAUCAAGGCUGAGGUGUGAUGACGAGGCACUACGGUGCUGAAGUAACAAAUGCCCUGCUUCCAGGAAAAGCCUCUAAGCAUCAGGUAACAUCAAAUCGUACCCCAAACCGACACAGGUGGUCAGGUAGAGAAUACCAAGGCGCUUGAGAGAACUCGGGUGAAGGAACUAGGCAAAAUGGUGCCGUAACUUCGGGAGAAGGCACGCUGGUGUGUAGGUGAAGUCCCUGCGGAUGGAGCUGAGACCAGUCGAAGAUACCAGCUGGCUGCAACUGUUUAUUAAAAACACAGCACUGUGCAAACACGAAAGUGGACGUAUACGGUGUGACGCCUGCCCGGUGCCGGAAGGUUAAUUGAUGGGGUUAUCCGUAAGGAGAAGCUCUUGAUCGAAGCCCCGGUAAACGGCGGCCGUAACUAUAACGGUCCUAAGGUAGCGAAAUUCCUUGUCGGGUAAGUUCCGACCUGCACGAAUGGCGUAAUGAUGGCCAGGCUGUCUCCACCCGAGACUCAGUGAAAUUGAACUCGCUGUGAAGAUGCAGUGUACCCGCGGCAAGACGGAAAGACCCCGUGAACCUUUACUAUAGCUUGACACUGAACAUUGAGCCUUGAUGUGUAGGAUAGGUGGGAGGCUUUGAAGCGUGGACGCCAGUCUGCGUGGAGCCAACCUUGAAAUACCACCCUUUAAUGUUUGAUGUUCUAACGUUGGCCCCUUACCGGGGUUGCGGACAGUGUCUGGUGGGUAGUUUGACUGGGGCGGUCUCCUCCCAAAGCGUAACGGAGGAGCACGAAGGUUAGCUAAUCCUGGUCGGACAUCAGGAGGUUAGUGCAAUGGCAUAAGCUAGCUUGACUGCGAGCGUGACGGCGCGAGCAGGUGCGAAAGCAGGUCAUAGUGAUCCGGUGGUUCUGAAUGGAAGGGCCAUCGCUCAACGGAUAAAAGGUACUCCGGGGAUAACAGGCUGAUACCGCCCAAGAGUUCAUAUCGACGGCGGUGUUUGGCACCUCGAUGUCGGCUCAUCACAUCCUGGGGCUGAAGUAGGUCCCAAGGGUAUGGCUGUUCGCCAUUUAAAGUGGUACGCGAGCUGGGUUUAGAACGUCGUGAGACAGUUCGGUCCCUAUCUGCCGUGGGCGCUGGAGAAUUGAGGGGGGCUGCUCCUAGUACGAGAGGACCGGAGUGGACGCAUCACUGGUGUUCGGGUUGUCAUGCCAAUGGCACUGCCCGGUAGCUAAAUGCGGAAGAGAUAAGUGCUGAAAGCAUCUAAGCACGAAACUUGCCCCGAGAUGAGUUCUCCCUGAGACUUUAAGUCUCCUGAAGGAACGUUAAAGACGAUGACGUUGAUAGGCCGGGUGUGUAAGCGCAGCGAUGCGUUGAGCUAACCGGUACUAAUGAACCGUGAGGCUUAACCUUACAACGCCGAAG
RNAcentral lists this ribosomal RNA (2923 nucleotides) under Klebsiella pneumoniae. RNAcentral describes it as "23S ribosomal RNA". It matches the Rfam family "Bacterial large subunit ribosomal RNA". The record is from RNAcentral. Lineage: Bacteria; Pseudomonadati; Pseudomonadota; Gammaproteobacteria; Enterobacterales; Enterobacteriaceae.